RNAcentral lists this unclassified non-coding RNA (376 nucleotides) under uncultured fungus. Its description in RNAcentral is "partial contains ITS1, 5.8S rRNA and ITS2". Lineage: Eukaryota; Fungi. The record is from RNAcentral.
AACGCAAAUUGCACUUCAGGGCAUUCCCUGGAGUACACCUGGCUGAGCAUCAUGAACUCUCUUCGUCCUCCCCUUCUGAGGGGGGGGAUGAGAAAAUGAAGUUGUCCCUUCCCCUGGCAAGUUCUCUGCCUCUGGGGAAGCGUCCUUCAAAAAAGUUUUGGACCAAAAACCCUGUUUCUUAGGGUUUUCACAUCUCUGUCCCACAAACGAUGUGUUAAGUAAAUGGGGGGGUUUCCCCCAUGGACUCUCAUCGCUUUUGCGGUUUUUGACUGGAGCGCUGUGGAUUCUCCUUUGGGGGCUUUUUUUGCUCUGUUUUGUGGAAAACAAACUUUUGACCAAUGAUCUCAGCUCAGGUGAGACUACCCGCUGAACUUAA